This is a small nuclear RNA of Sorex fumeus (smoky shrew), 107 nucleotides long. The record is from RefSeq and is a predicted model, not a curated record. Lineage: Eukaryota; Metazoa; Chordata; Mammalia; Eulipotyphla; Soricidae.
AUGCUCACUUUGGCAACACAAAUACUAAAAUCGGAAUGAAACAGAGAAGAUUAGCGUGGUCCCCGCACAAGGGUGACGUGCAAGACUGUGAUGUAAUCAAUGUUUUU